Molecule: ribosomal RNA, 795 nt
Filed under: Brachythoracosepsis ruanoliensis
Lineage: Eukaryota; Metazoa; Arthropoda; Insecta; Diptera; Sepsidae
Description: eukaryotic LSU rRNA
Rfam family: Eukaryotic large subunit ribosomal RNA
Source: RNAcentral
AUAUGCUAGUAUGACAUAUUAACGAUUUAAGUCCUUCUUAAAUGAGGCCAUUUACCCAUAGAGGGUGCCAGGCCCGUAUAACGUUAAUGAUUACUAGAAGAUAUUUCCAAAGAGUCGUGUUGCUUGAUAGUGCAGCACUAAGUGGGUGGUAAACUCCAUCUAAAACUAAAUAUAACCAUGAGACCGAUAGCAAACAAGUACCGUGAGGGAAAGUUGAAAAGAACUCUGAAUAGAGAGUUAAAUAGUACGUGAAACUGCUUAGAGGUUAAGCCCGAUGAACCUGAAUAUCCAUUAUGGAAAAUUCAUCAUUGUAAUUAUGAUAUUUUAAAAAUAUUAUGAGAAUAGUGUGCAUUUUUUCCAUAUAAGGACAUUGUAAUCUAUUAACAAUUAUAUAUUUAUCAAAAGAUCAUUGGCUUUAGUUUAUUUGAAUUAUCUUGUUUACAAGUUAACAUUGAAUAAAUGCUUAUGAUUUGAUAAAGUGUUGAUAGAUUUAUUAUAUAUAGUGCUUAAAUUAUUUAUAAUUUUACAAUAAUAUUUAAAUCAUGAUUUUUAUAUUCAUUGUAUGCGCUUAUAUGAUUAACAAUGCGAAAGAUUCAGGAUACCUUCGGGACCCGUCUUGAAACACGGACCAAGGAGUCUAACAUAUGUGCAAGUAAUUGGGAAUUUUUAAAACCUAAUUGCGAAAUAAACAUAACUUGUUAAUGGGAUUAAUUUUUAUAGGAAUUUAUUUUUAUAUUAAUUCAAUCCCGGGGCGUUCUAUAUAGUUAUGUAUAAUAAUAUUUAUAUUAUUUAUAC